UCCUAUUGUGUUUUGCUGUUUUCUAGUCAUCUAUGUGGAGUUAAGGAAGAAGAGAGUGGGAGCAUAAUUGUAUAGACUUUAAUUCCAGCAGGGUUUCUCCUCUCCAGCAGGAGGAUCUAAACCGGAAAAGGGAGACGAAGAAAAUGUCGCUGAUCUCCUCCAAAUGAGCACGUAAUGCAUUUCUUGGAACAAGCCUCAGUCACAUGCUAGCUACUGCCACGUGUGGAGCUACUAUGCCAUGCCAGAUGGACUGGAAUUCCUCCAAAUUUAUGAAUGAGAAGAAACCUUCUGUCUCUUGAAUUGUUUUGGUCAGGGAUUUGAUGAAACAAGUAAUCAAUAUGGAAAAUGGGUAUCAAAGAAAUUGGGCCUGCUUCCUUUCUGCAGCUAUGGAAACAAGACUGCCCCUCAUGGUCUUGGCACUAUGGGUGGGGCUACUCCUGGCAUUCCUCACUAGGAUAGGAUAGACUGGAGCUCCCUAAAAUUGGGAGUGAGAAUAAAUCCUUCUGUUCAGUUGCUUCUUCCAGAUAUUGAUCACAGUGGUGAAAUAUGAUUAAUGCAGUAUUGUCUAGGCACUUUCCAUGUAAUGUUUUUCUACUAGGUUGUAAAAAUUUUGAAGGCAGGAAGCAUGUCUUUUUUUUCCAUUGGAUAUUUUCUUUAUUUACAUUUCAAAUGUUAACACCUUUUCUGGUUCCCCCCCCCCCGAAAACUACUUGUUCCCCUCCCCCUGCUUCUGUGAGGGUGUUGCCCCACCCACCCACUCACUCCUGUCUUCCUGCCCUGGCAUUCCCCUACGCUGGGGCAUCGAGCCUUCAGAGGGCCAAAUGCCUGUCUUCCCAAUGAUGUCCAACAAGGCCAUCCUCUGCUAUAUAUGCAGCUGGAGCUAUGGGUCCCUCCAUGUGUACUCUUUGGUUGGUGGUUUAGUCCCUGGGAGCUCUGGGAGUAUGGGCUGGUCCAUAUUGUUGUUCCUACUAUGGGGCUUCCAGCUCCUUCAGCCCUUUCUAUAGCUCCUCCAUUGCGGACCUUGUGCUCAGUCCAAUGAAUGGUUGAUAUUGUUGUGUGUCUGAUUGGCUGAUAUUGUUGUUCCAGGAAGCAUGUCUUGAUCCUGUAUUUUUAGAUGAUAAUAAAAUGCCUGCAACAUAGGAGGUCUUUGAAUGAGUGAACAAAUGAGUAAUGAAUGGUACUAACACUUGGAAAGGCUGGUCAGUUGAUCUUAUUUAAAUGUGGAGCAUACAAUGGUAUACUUCGAUUAUCAGGACCCAUGGGAAAUUCUCU
Long non-coding RNA from Mus musculus (house mouse), 1272 nucleotides. RefSeq annotates it as predicted gene, 54239. NCBI's taxonomy places the organism in Eukaryota, Metazoa, Chordata, Mammalia, Rodentia, Muridae. The record is from RefSeq and is a predicted model, not a curated record. The transcript is spliced from 3 exons.